This 433-nucleotide ribosomal RNA is filed under the name uncultured bacterium. RNAcentral describes it as "partial 16S ribosomal RNA". It matches the Rfam family "Bacterial small subunit ribosomal RNA", at positions 29 to 507 of the family's 1533-position model. The record is from RNAcentral.
AACGAACGCUGGCGGCAUGCCUAACACAUGCAAGUCGAACGAGACCUUCGGGUCUAGUGGCGCACGGGUGCGUAACGCGUGGGAACCUGCCCUUAGGUUCGGAAUACCUCCCCGAAAGGGGUGCUAAUACCGGAUAAUGUCUUCGGCCCAAAGAUUUAUCGCCUUUGGAUGGGCCCGCGUUGGAUUAGCUAGUUGGUAGGGUAAAAGCCUACCAAGGCGACGAUCCAUAGCUGGUCUGAGAGGAUGAUCAGCCACACUGGGACUGAGACACGGCCCAGACUCCUACGGGAGGCAGCAGUGGGGAAUAUUGGAAAAUGGGCGAAAGCCUGAUCCAGCAAUGCCGCGUGAGUGAUGAAGGUCUUAGGGUUGUAAAGCUCUUUUACCCGGGAUGAUAAUGACAGUACCGGGAGAAUAAGCUCCGGCUAACUCCGUG